CCUACGGGUGGCAGCAGUGGGGGAUAUUGCACAAUGCGGGGAACACUGAUGCAGCGACGCCGCGUGAGCGAAGAAGUACCUCGGUAUGUAAAGCUCUAUCAGCAGGGAAGAAAAUGACGGUACCUGACUAAGAAGCCCCGGCUAAAUACGUGCCAGCAGCCGCGGUAAUACGUCUGGGGCAAGCGUUAUCCGGAUUUACUGGGUGGAGAGGGAGCGCAGGCGGCCUGCCAAGUCUGGUGUGAAGACCCGGGGCCCAACCCUUGGCGUGCAUUGGAAACUGUCGGGCUGGAGUGUCGGAGGGGCAGGCAGAAUUCCUAGUGUAGCGGUGAAAUGCGUAGAUAUUAGGAGGAACACCGGUGGCGAAGGCGGCCUGCUGGACGGUGACUGACGCUGAGAUGCGAAAGCGUGGGGAGCAAACAGGAUUAGAUACCCCAGUAGUC
This 440-nucleotide ribosomal RNA is filed under the name uncultured bacterium. Its description in RNAcentral is "partial 16S ribosomal RNA". It matches the Rfam family "Bacterial small subunit ribosomal RNA", at positions 338 to 795 of the family's 1533-position model. The record is from RNAcentral.